GGUAAGUAGGACUUGAAUUUGUUUUUUUUUUUUUUUUUUGGCUAAUAUCACUUUAAAGAGUGCUAUGACUCCUGUUGCAAACACAACCAGGAGAAUAAUUUGCUUGGCCAAGUAGCAGAAACGAUGAAAUCAAAUGCCACAGGAUUAAAUGAAGUGUCAGGUGAUCAGUACAGUAGUUUCAGCUGAUAGUUUGAAAGGGGCAUCUAUUAGGGCAUCACGACUUUCUGAUGUUACCACUCUUGCUGUUGGAUAUAUGUUUAUAUUUUUUAUGGUCUUUUUCUAUCCUGGAGUUGUUGCUUUAAUUCGGUACACUAGAGGAGAACAUUUGACAUUGGGGAGAUUUUAUGGAAUUGCAUCCAUUGCAUAAACUAUUCCUUCCCUAUUCAGGCAAUUUGUGGCAGCAAUGAGACAUCUGAUGACUAUGAUCAAGGUUGCUUUUCUUCUUGUAAUUGAACUUGGGGUCUUCCCUUUGAUGUGUGGAUGGUGGCUGGAUGUUUGUACUAUAAAGUACACUAGAGGAGAACCUUUGACAUUGGCUUUUCUUCUUGCUAUUCUUUGUGUAAUAUUUUUGUUUAACAACACCAUUCUUUUGUUUGGCAGUCUGUCAGAUCCAUUUACUGAAAUUCCUGCUGACAUGCUUCUCUUUCAAAUCUGCAUUCCUUUUGCUAUUUCUUAGGUUUGUGUCUGGAGCAGAUUGAAAAGCAUGAGGUGAUCAAAGUGUAUCCCCAUUGUCAAUUUAGGGUCCUUUGCUCUAUGGGAUUUGAGGUGCAAUGACAGCAGUGGCAAAAAACUUUGUCUACAAUCAAUUGCUAUGGUGCAUGAGGCGCACAUUUCUCCUUGUCAAAGGCGGGGUAGACGUAGAAAGGCUUUUUCUAUGAGCAUCACAUCUGUUCUACAUCUAAAGGAUGAGUGUAAUAAAGUUUUGGGACACAAGGAGUCUGAAAUCUCCUAUCAGUCAGGCAUGCCCUCAUUCAGAAGGGUCAGCUGAGAAGAAUAUACCUAUACAAUGUACUUCAGCUAGAACAAGGGCCAGUGAAAACUUUCUCUGGAUGCCGAAUUGAUUCUUUUUUUUUUUAUGAAGUCAUCAAUAAGCCCUGAUGCAGCUCACAUAUUAAGCGGCUCUAGUGAUGGGAAUGCUUACAUAUGGCAGAUAAGGAAACCUCUUGCAGAUCCCAUUAUACUGAAUAGUCAUGAAGGAGAAGUUACAGCAGUAGAUUGAAAACUGAGCAGGAGAAACUGGAGAAGCUUGCCCGAAAGAUUGUUGAGAGAGUUGGUAGAUCGAGCUACACUCAACAAGAAAUUGAUGAAGUAAGAGACGUAUGGGCCGACUUCUUUGUUGAUGUAUGGUUAAGUAUGUAAAUUGAACAAAUUGAUAUUAGCUUUUGAUAAUGUUAACUUGUAUUAUUAAUUAGUAUCAAAUUGUGAGAUUUAUUACUU
Long non-coding RNA from Ipomoea nil (Japanese morning glory), 1437 nucleotides. RefSeq lists it as uncharacterized. The record is from RefSeq and is a predicted model, not a curated record. NCBI's taxonomy places the organism in Eukaryota, Viridiplantae, Streptophyta, Magnoliopsida, Solanales, Convolvulaceae. The transcript is spliced from 10 exons.